This 465-nucleotide ribosomal RNA is filed under the name uncultured bacterium. RNAcentral's name for it is "partial 16S ribosomal RNA". It matches the Rfam family "Bacterial small subunit ribosomal RNA", at positions 28 to 507 of the family's 1533-position model. The record is from RNAcentral.
GACGAACGCUGGCGGCGUGCUUAACACAUGCAAGUCGAACGGAAAGGCCCUGCUUGCAGGGUACUCGAGUGGCGAACGGGUGAGUAACACGUGGGUGAUCUGCCCUGCACUUCGGGAUAAGCCUGGGAAACUGGGUCUAAUACCGGAUAGGAGCCAUUUUUAGUGUGAUGGUUGGAAAGUUUUUUCGGUGUAGGAUGAGCUCGCGGCCUAUCAGCUUGUUGGUGGGGUAAUGGCCUACCAAGGCGGCGACGGGUAGCCGGCCUGAAAGGGUGGACGGCCACAUUGGGACUGAGAUACGGCCCAGACGCCUACGGGAGGCAGCAGUGGGGAAUAUUGCACAAGGGGCGCAAGCCGGAUGCAGCGACGCCGCGUGGGGGAUGACGGCCUUCGGGUUGUAAACUCCUUUCGCUAGGGACGAAGCUUUUUGUGACGGUACCUAGAGAAGAAGCACCGGCUAACUACGUG